AAAUUGAAGAGUUUGAUCAUGGCUCAGAUUGAACGCUGGCGGCAGGCCUAACACAUGCAAGUCGAGCGGUAGCACAGAGAGCUUGCUCUCGGGUGACGAGCGGCGGACGGGUGAGUAAUGUCUGGGAAACUGCCUGAUGGAGGGGGAUAACUACUGGAAACGGUAGCUAAUACCGCAUAAUGUCGCAAGACCAAAGUGGGGGACCUUCGGGCCUCAUGCCAUCAGAUGUGCCCAGAUGGGAUUAGCUAGUAGGUGGGGUAACGGCUCACCUAGGCGACGAUCCCUAGCUGGUCUGAGAGGAUGACCAGCCACACUGGAACUGAGACACGGUCCAGACUCCUACGGGAGGCAGCAGUGGGGAAUAUUGCACAAUGGGCGCAAGCCUGAUGCAGCCAUGCCGCGUGUGUGAAGAAGGCCUUCGGGUUGUAAAGCACUUUCAGCGGGGAGGAAGGCGUUAAGGUUAAUAACCUUGGCGAUUGACGUUACCCGCAGAAGAAGCACCGGCUAACUCCGUGCCAGCAGCCGCGGUAAUACGGAGGGUGCAAGCGUUAAUCGGAAUUACUGGGCGUAAAGCGCACGCAGGCGGUCUGUCAAGUCGGAUGUGAAAUCCCCGGGCUCAACCUGGGAACUGCAUUCGAAACUGGCAGGCUAGAGUCUUGUAGAGGGGGGUAGAAUUCCAGGUGUAGCGGUGAAAUGCGUAGAGAUCUGGAGGAAUACCGGUGGCGAAGGCGGCCCCCUGGACAAAGACUGACGCUCAGGUGCGAAAGCGUGGGGAGCAAACAGGAUUAGAUACCCUGGUAGUCCACGCCGUAAACGAUGUCGAUUUGGAGGUUGUGCCCUUGAGGCGUGGCUUCCGGAGCUAACGCGUUAAAUCGACCGCCUGGGGAGUACGGCCGCAAGGUUAAAACUCAAAUGAAUUGACGGGGGCCCGCACAAGCGGUGGAGCAUGUGGUUUAAUUCGAUGCAACGCGAAGAACCUUACCUGGUCUUGACAUCCACAGAACUUUCCAGAGAUGGAUUGGUGCCUUCGGGAACUGUGAGACAGGUGCUGCAUGGCUGUCGUCAGCUCGUGUUGUGAAAUGUUGGGUUAAGUCCCGCAACGAGCGCAACCCUUAUCCUUUGUUGCCAGCGGUCCGGCCGGGAACUCAAAGGAGACUGCCAGUGAUAAACUGGAGGAAGGUGGGGAUGACGUCAAGUCAUCAUGGCCCUUACGACCAGGGCUACACACGUGCUACAAUGGCAUAUACAAAGAGAAGCGACCUCGCGAGAGCAAGCGGACCUCAUAAAGUAUGUCGUAGUCCGGAUUGGAGUCUGCAACUCGACUCCAUGAAGUCGGAAUCGCUAGUAAUCGUAGAUCAGAAUGCUACGGUGAAUACGUUCCCGGGCCUUGUACACACCGCCCGUCACACCAUGGGAGUGGGUUGCAAAAGAAGUAGGUAGCUUAACCUUCGGGAGGGCGCUUACCACUUUGUGAUUCAUGACUGGGGUGAAGUCGUAACAAGGUAACCGUAGGGGAACCUGCGGUUGGAUCACCUCCUUACCUUAAAGAA
RNAcentral lists this ribosomal RNA (1550 nucleotides) under Klebsiella pneumoniae. RNAcentral describes it as "bacterial SSU rRNA". It matches the Rfam family "Bacterial small subunit ribosomal RNA". RNAcentral also lists the same sequence under 1 other name. The record is from RNAcentral. Lineage: Bacteria; Pseudomonadati; Pseudomonadota; Gammaproteobacteria; Enterobacterales; Enterobacteriaceae.